ACGAACGCUGGCGGCGUGCUUAACACCUGCCAGUCGAACGGAAAGGCCCUGCUUUUGUGGGGUGCUCGAGUGGCGAACGGGUGAGUAACACGUGAGUAACCUGCCCUUGACUUUGGGAUAACUUCAGGAAACUGGGGCUAAUACCGGAUAGGAGCUCCUGCUGCAUGGUGGGGGUUGGAAAGUUUCGGCGGUUGGGGAUGGACUCGCGGCUUAUCAGCUUGUUGGUGGGGUAGUGGCUUACCAAGGCUUUGACGGGUAGCCGGCCUGAGAGGGUGACCGGCCACAUUGGGACUGAGAUACGGCCCAGACUCCUACGGGAGGCAGCAGCGGGGAAUAUUGCACAAUGGGCGGAAGCCUGAUGCAGCAACGCCGCGUGCGGGAUGACGGCCUUCGGGUUGUAAACCGCUUUCGCCUGUGACGAAGCGUGAGUGACGGUAAUGGGUAAAGAAGCACCGGCUAACUACGUG
Molecule: ribosomal RNA, 467 nt
Filed under: uncultured bacterium
Lineage: Bacteria
Description: partial 16S ribosomal RNA
Rfam family: Bacterial small subunit ribosomal RNA
Source: RNAcentral